AUUGAACGCUGGCGGCAGGCCUAACACAUGCAAGUCGAACGAGUGGCGGACGGGUGAGGAAUGUAUGGGAAACUGCCCGAUGGAGGGGGAUAACUACUGGAAACGGUAGCUAAUACCGCAUACCAUCGGAUGUGCCCCGAUGGGAUUAGCUAGUCGGUGGGGUAACGGCUCACCUAGGCGACGAUCCCUAGCUGGUCUGAGAGGAUGACCAGCCACACUGGAACUGGUACACGGUCCAGACUCCUACGGGAGGCAGCAGUGGGGAAUAUUGCACAAUGGGCGCAAGCCUGAUUCAGCCAUGCCGCGUGUAUGAAGAAGGCCUUCGGGUUGUAAAGUACUUUCAGCUAGGAGGCGUUACUCGCAGAAGAAGCACCGGCUAACUCCGUGCCAGCAGCCGCGGUAAUAC
RNAcentral lists this ribosomal RNA (406 nucleotides) under uncultured bacterium. RNAcentral's name for it is "partial 16S ribosomal RNA". It matches the Rfam family "Bacterial small subunit ribosomal RNA", at positions 30 to 526 of the family's 1533-position model. The record is from RNAcentral.